UACGGAGGGAGCAAGCGUUAAUCGGAAUCACUGGGCGUAAAGCGCACGUAGGCGGCUUGGUAAGUCACAUGUGAAAGCCCUCGGCUCAACCGGGGAACUGGGUGUGAUACUGCCUUGCUUGAGUCCUGGAGAGGGUGGCGGAAUUCCCGGUGUAGGAGUGAAAUCCGUAGGUAUCGGGAGGAACACCAGUGGCGAAGGCGGCCACCUGGACAGGUACUGACGCUGAGGUUCGAAAGUUUGGGUAGCAAACAGG
Molecule: ribosomal RNA, 253 nt
Filed under: uncultured bacterium
Lineage: Bacteria
Description: partial 16S ribosomal RNA
Rfam family: Bacterial small subunit ribosomal RNA
Source: RNAcentral